This 305-nucleotide ribosomal RNA is filed under the name uncultured bacterium. Its description in RNAcentral is "bacterial SSU rRNA". It matches the Rfam family "Bacterial small subunit ribosomal RNA", at positions 335 to 657 of the family's 1533-position model. The record is from RNAcentral.
UUUCCUACGGGGCGCAGCAGUGGGGAAUAUUGCACAAUGGGGGAAACCCUGAUGCAGCGACGCCGCGUGAAGGAAGAAGUAUUUCGGUAUGUAAACUUCUAUCAGCAGGGAAGAAAAUGACGGUACCUGACUAAGAAGCCCCGGCUAACUACGUGCCAGCAGCCGCGGUAAUACGUAGGGGGCAAGCGUUAUCCGGAUUUACUGGGUGUAAAGGGAGCGUAGGCGGCGAUGUAAGUCAGAAGUGAAAGCCCGGGGCUCAACUCCGGGACUGCUUUUGAAACUGUAUGGCUAGAUUGCAGGAGAGG